AGAGUUUGAUCCUGGCUCAGGAUGAACGCUGGCGGCGUGCCUAACACAUGCAAGUCGAGCGAUCUUCUUCGGAAGAGAGCGGCGGACGGGUGAGUAACGCGUGGGUAACCUGCCUCAUACACAUGGAUAACAUACCGAAAGGUAUGCUAAUACAAGAUGAUAUAAGAGAUUCGCAUGGAUUUCUUAUCAAAGCUCCGGCGGUAUGAGAUGGACCCGCGUCUGAUUAGCUAGUUGGUAAGGUAACGGCUUACCAAGGCGACGAUCAGUAGCCGACCUGAGAGGGUGAUCGGCCACAUUGGAACUGAGACACGGUCCAAACUCCUACGGGAGGCAGCAGUGGGGAAUAUUGCACAAUGGGCGAAAGCCUGAUGCAGCAACGCCGCGUGAGCGAUGAAGGCCUUCGGGUCGUAAAGCUCUGUCCUCAAGGAAGAUAAUGACGGUACUUGAGGAGGAAGCCCCGGCUAACUACGUGCCAGCAGCCGCGGUAAUACGUAGGGGGCUAGCGUUAUCCGGAUUUACUGGGCGUAAAGGGUGCGUAGGUGGUUUCUUAAGUCAGGAGUGAAAGGCUACGGCUCAACCGUAGUAAGCUCUUGAAACUGGGAAACUCGAGUGCAGGAGAGGAAAGUGGAAUUCCUAGUGUAGCGGUGAAAUGCGUAGAUAUUAGGAGGAACACCAGUAGCGAAGGCGGCUUUCUGGACUGUAACUGACACUGAGGCACGAAAGCGUGGGGAGCAAACAGGAUUAGAUACCCUGGUAGUCCACGCCGUAAACGAUGAGUACUAGGUGUCGGG
This 791-nucleotide ribosomal RNA is filed under the name uncultured bacterium. RNAcentral's name for it is "bacterial SSU rRNA". It matches the Rfam family "Bacterial small subunit ribosomal RNA", at positions 8 to 827 of the family's 1533-position model. The record is from RNAcentral.